GUGAAAUAGUCGUUUGGGUUCGUGGGAGAGUGUGGUUAUGAGGGUAUUGAAGUAAUUAACUUUUGCAGAGGAAAGAGCUAAGCUGUAUGAGCUCAGCAUAAAUUUAUAGUGGAGAAAGUCAGAUGCACAGUGAGACUUUCUCCAACAGCAUUCAGCAGUUCUGGAGCAUUUUUGGAGGUAUUGAGUGAGCUUGGUGUGCCAGGGUUGUUG
RNAcentral lists this long non-coding RNA (210 nucleotides) under Pelobates cultripes (western spadefoot toad). Lineage: Eukaryota; Metazoa; Chordata; Amphibia; Anura; Pelobatidae. The record is from RNAcentral.